Long non-coding RNA from Phyllostomus discolor (pale spear-nosed bat), 719 nucleotides. RefSeq lists it as uncharacterized. The record is from RefSeq and is a predicted model, not a curated record. Lineage: Eukaryota; Metazoa; Chordata; Mammalia; Chiroptera; Phyllostomidae. The transcript has 3 exons.
GCUCUCCUACUGUGCUUUUUUAAGGGUCUCCUACUAUAGGUCAGGCACUGUGCUUAGAGGCUAGGAAGACAAUGUCAACAACCGAACCCCUUGGAAAUCACAGACUAUCAUGGCAGAGAGAUGACAAGCACACAGUCACACAAAGCAAUUAUUUAACUAAUUUUUAAAUGCUAAAGGGAUCUUGAAAUUCAAAGAAAAUAGCUUUCCAUUUUAUAUUUGUAAAUCAGAAUACAUGUCUUUUCUUUCCCUCCAAAAAUAAAAUAGUUAUAACAUGAACUAAAGAAUGCCGUGCUUCCCUCUUCAGAGAAACUUGCGUAAGGCAUCUAGCAGAAAAUAGUUAUCCCAAAUCUCUAGCUUAGAAAUGACCUCUUGAUAAUCCAAAGCUUAAGAAAUUCUAUAACAAGUUGGCGGGGGGGUGAUAGCUGGGUAGGCACUGGACUUUCUUCCUCUGCAUUUUUAGUAAAAUAUCCUUCUCCAAUAUUGGCCCCAGAAUUGGCCUGUGGAACCAGAGGCAAAACACUUGAUUCUUUUGGAAGACUUAAUGGGAGAGGGUCUGUAGUGAUUUUGGUUUGUACAGGGUCCUUCACUGUGCUGGCAUAGAGAAGCUGGCUAUCUCCUCUCCACCAGAAACUCUUGAGUUCAGAAACCAAAUCGCAUACUUUGAUAUUCACUCUGAAGCUGAGAUAAAGCUUUAGGUUCACAUACUAGGGAACAGGGCA